GUAGUCCGCACAGAUGCAUAUCAAUAAGCGGAGGAAAAGAAACUAACAAGGAUUCCCCUAGUAACGGCGAGUGAAGCGGGAAGAGCUCAAAUUUGAAAUCUUAAAGGGUUUCCCUUUACGAAUUGUAGUUUAAAGAAGUGUUUUCUGUUGAGGUUUUGGUAAAAGGUUCUUUGGAAUAGGACAUCAUAGAGGGUGAGAAUCCCGUAUUUGACCUUUACUUUCAACUUUGUGAUACACUUUCAAAGAGUCGGAUUGAUUUGGGGAAUGCAGUCCAAAAUGGGUGGUAAAUUUCAUCUAAAGCUAAAUAUUGGCGAGAGACCGAUAGCGAACAAGUACCGUGAGGGAAAGAUGAAAAGAACUUUGAAAAGAGAGUUAAACAGUACGUGAAAUUGUCAAAAGGGAAGCGUUCGACACCAGUGUUGUUUUUCUGAAAAUCAAUUAAAGAACUGUUUAUGCUAAGCUGUUUAGACUUUAUCAGCUAUCUGCUUAGUUUUGAGCUUUUCUUUAAUGCACUUUUCAGUUAACAAGUCAACAUCAAUUUCUUUUGCUGUAAAAAAGCUUGAGGAAGGUGGCUUGAGAUUCGUCUUAAGUGUUUAUAGCCUCUUGCCUAUGCAGUCGGAGAGAUUGAGGUCUGCAGCGUAGAUCCUUCGGGGCUAAAUGCAUUUGUGCUAAGUUAUAGCAUUUUAUAGACAACUUGUUGACUAUGAUUUGUCUUGUAGCUUACUCGCUUAUGUUAUUUUACCUACGCUUAGGAUGUUGACAGCAGUAUAGACUGU
RNAcentral lists this ribosomal RNA (776 nucleotides) under uncultured Neocallimastigales. Its description in RNAcentral is "partial large subunit ribosomal RNA". It matches the Rfam family "Eukaryotic large subunit ribosomal RNA", at positions 24 to 637 of the family's 3401-position model. Lineage: Eukaryota; Fungi; Neocallimastigomycota; Neocallimastigomycetes; Neocallimastigales. The record is from RNAcentral.